AGAAGGUAUAGCAAUAGCUAGUUGUAUUAACAUAAUAAAUAAUUUUUACAAUCUCGAGUAAUUCGGAUAAAAUUCUAGGUAGAUUUAUGAUAAUGACAUUAUCUAUCUAUGUGUCUUGACCAAAUUACGUGCCAGCAGUCGCGGCAAUACAUAGAAGACUAGUGUUAUUCAUCUUUAAUUGGUUUAAAGCGUACUUAGACGGUAAUUAUAGCCUAACUAAGGUACUUUUUUACUAGAGUUAUAUAUAAGGGUGUAUUAAAGUACUGUUGAGUUUAGAGAUGAAAUUUUUUGACACCAGAUAAUUGGCACAGGUAAAGGCGAAAGCAUCACUUUAUGUAAUAACUGACGUUAACGGACGAAGGCUAUGUAUCGCAAACAGGAUUAGGUACCCUAGUAGUCUUAGCAGAAAAUUAUGAAUGUCAUAGGUUAGAUUUUAUUUGGUCUAUAAAUGAAAGUGUAAGCAUUCCACCUCAAGAGUAAUUUGGCAACAUUGGAACUGAAAUCAUUAGACCGUUUCUGAAACCAGUAGUGAAGUAUGUUGUUUAAUUUGAUGAUCCGCAAAAAACCUUACCACAAUUUGAAUAUUAUUAUAUACACAAGCGUUGCACGGCUGUCUUCAGUUAAUGUCGUGAGAUUUUGGUUUGGUCCAUUUAAUUAACGUAAACCCUUACUCUAGUUUUAUAUAGAGUUUUCCACCGGCAUAUUGGAUGUGAUAAGAGGGACUAGGACAAGUCAUCAUGGC
This 742-nucleotide ribosomal RNA is filed under the name Parmeliella incrassata. RNAcentral's name for it is "SSU rRNA". It matches the Rfam family "Bacterial small subunit ribosomal RNA", at positions 401 to 1199 of the family's 1533-position model. Lineage: Eukaryota; Fungi; Ascomycota; Lecanoromycetes; Peltigerales; Pannariaceae. The record is from RNAcentral.